RNAcentral lists this transfer RNA (76 nucleotides) under Myxococcales bacterium. Its description in RNAcentral is "tRNA-Phe". It matches the Rfam family "tRNA". Rfam says of the family: Transfer RNA (tRNA) molecules are approximately 80 nucleotides in length. Their secondary structure includes four short double-helical elements and three loops (D, anti-codon, and T loops). The record is from RNAcentral. Lineage: Bacteria; Pseudomonadati; Myxococcota; Myxococcia; Myxococcales.
GGCCUGGUAGCUCAGUUGGUAGAGCACUCGACUGAAAAUCGAGGUGUCAGUGGUUCAAGUCCACUCCGGGCCACCA